GGUCAAAUCGGAUCGUUGGCUCGUGGAUUCGAGUGGCGUCGUGGAUUCGGCGUGAUUGAAGCUUCGUGGAUUCGAAGUGAAGGCGUUCGUAGAUUCGGACGUGAGGGCGUGGACAACCCGGAGGAUUGCGCGAGAUCCAUAGGAGGUUAAGAGAGGUUGAGUCCGUGGAGUCGGUAAAUCACCUUGUAAUCUUUUCUCUUAGUGAAUUAUUUUUUCGCGUGUUGGUCCCGUGGGUUUUUCUCCAAAUUGGAGUUUUCCCACGUAAAUCUCGGUGUGCUUUUUAUUUUCCGCAUUUAUUUUUAUUGCAUCGAGAUUUGUGGUUUUUGGUUGUUACACCUAUUCACCCCCCUCUAGGUGAUAGAUACAAUCUAGAUAGAUCCUUGGGCUCCUCAAAACUUUCAAUUGGUAUCAGAGCGGGAUCUAGAUAAAUUGUUAUCUAAUGGCCGAAGGUGGUAACAUUAAUCGACCUCCGCUCUUCGACGGUACGAAUUAUGCCUAUUGGAAAGUUCGCAUGAGAGCUUUUCUAAUUGCUAUCGAUGAGCGGGUUUGGCAAUCAAUUGAAUUUGGGUGGAAACAUCCGAUAGAAAAGGUCGAUAAUGUUGAAAAGCCAAAAUCACGGAAUAAAUGGAC
Molecule: long non-coding RNA, 630 nt
Filed under: Ananas comosus (pineapple)
Lineage: Eukaryota; Viridiplantae; Streptophyta; Magnoliopsida; Poales; Bromeliaceae
Description: long non-coding RNA (ACOM_LNC043331)
Source: RNAcentral